GGUGACUCAGUGGUAGAGUGCUUGCUUUCCAUGCAUGAGGCCCUGGGUUCAAUUCCUCAGCACCA
Molecule: transfer RNA, 65 nt
Filed under: Dipodomys ordii (Ord's kangaroo rat)
Lineage: Eukaryota; Metazoa; Chordata; Mammalia; Rodentia; Heteromyidae
Rfam family: tRNA
About the family: Transfer RNA (tRNA) molecules are approximately 80 nucleotides in length. Their secondary structure includes four short double-helical elements and three loops (D, anti-codon, and T loops).
Source: Rfam by way of RNAcentral